GGAGCUGUAGUUCAAUUGGUAGAACGACGGAUUCCAAAUCCGUCGGUCGCAGGUUCGAUUCCUGUCAGCUUCA
This 73-nucleotide transfer RNA is filed under the name Cryptococcus neoformans H99. Its description in RNAcentral is "tRNA-Trp (CCA) (tRNA-Trp-CCA-1-1)". It matches the Rfam family "tRNA". From Rfam's summary of the family: Transfer RNA (tRNA) molecules are approximately 80 nucleotides in length. Their secondary structure includes four short double-helical elements and three loops (D, anti-codon, and T loops). Further hydrogen bonds mediate the characteristic L-shaped molecular structure. tRNAs have two regions of fundamental functional importance: the anti-codon, which is responsible for specific mRNA codon recognition, and the 3' end, to which the tRNAs corresponding amino acid is attached (by aminoacyl-tRNA synthetases). tRNAs cope with the degeneracy of the genetic code in two manners: having more than one tRNA (with a specific anti-codon) for a particular amino acid; and 'wobble' base-pairing, i.e. permitting non-standard base-pairing at the 3rd anti-codon position. The record is from RNAcentral. RNAcentral also lists the same sequence under 18 other names. Lineage: Eukaryota; Fungi; Basidiomycota; Tremellomycetes; Tremellales; Cryptococcaceae.